UACGUAGGCAGCGAGCGUUGUUCGGAGUUACUGGGCGUAAAGGGUGUGUAGGCGGUUGUUUAAGUUUGGUGUGAAAUCUCCCGGCUCAACUGGGAGGGUGCGCCGAAUACUGAAUGACUUCGAGUGCGGGAGAGGAGAGUGGAAUUCCUGGUGUAGCGGUGAAAUGCGUAGAUAUCAGGAGGAACACCGGUGGUGUAGACGGCUCUCUGGACCGUAACUGACGCUGAGAAGCGAAAGCAUGGGGAGCGAACAGG
RNAcentral lists this ribosomal RNA (254 nucleotides) under uncultured bacterium. RNAcentral describes it as "partial 16S ribosomal RNA". It matches the Rfam family "Bacterial small subunit ribosomal RNA", at positions 524 to 776 of the family's 1533-position model. The record is from RNAcentral.